AGAACCUAUGGGCACAAAAAGCAGGAACGAGUAGCGGUGGCUGAAGAACGAGCAGGAGCUUGAAUUUCAGUUUUCUUAUGAGGAAUUUUCCAGAAAAGAUAUCUUCACUGUGAAAUAACUAAAUAAAUGCCCACUCAGUACAGUCACUGUCUCCCUUUUGGAACUUGAUGGCACCUUAAGCCCAGGUUUGCCUCCACUCUAGAAACUCAUCAGAGUGAUGCCCUUCUCAAAUGGGGGAGGUCCCAAAGCGGAUAUCCUGGCAGUGUGAAAGGCCGGCUAAAGCUUUCCCUGCACUCCAAACACAGAGCUGAGACUUCCACCUAAUGUAGAAAGCUAGCACGAGCCGGCGCUGACAGAUGGAAGACUUGAGAUGUUACAAGAUUAUAUAUGGAAACACAAAAGGAGUGGAGUUGCUGGGUCAUAUGGCAAUUCAUUUGAGGAACUGAGAAGCUUAUUCCAUGGAGGCUGAACUGUUUUAUAUUCCCACCAGCAACGUAUUCUGUAUCCUCCAUAGUCCUAUUCAUGACAUGGGUCGUUCAUCUCUGUAUUCUAAACCCUCAAUGAACUGUAGACAGUAAUAAAUAUUUAUUGGAUGAA
Long non-coding RNA from Homo sapiens (human), 597 nucleotides. Ensembl annotates it as cholesterol induced regulator of metabolism RNA. Its record names the gene CHROMR. The record is from Ensembl. NCBI's taxonomy places the organism in Eukaryota, Metazoa, Chordata, Mammalia, Primates, Hominidae.